AUACGUAGGGAGCGAGCGUUGUCCGGAAUUACUGGGUGUAAAGGGAGCGUAGGCGGGAGUGCAAGUCAGAUGUGAAAUACAUGGGCUCAACCCAUGGGCUGCAUUUGAAACUGCAUUUCUUGAGUGAAGUAGCGGAAAGCGGAAUUCCUGGUGUAGCGGUGAAAUGCGUAGAUAUCAGGAGGAACACCGGUGGCGAAGGCGGCUUACUGGGCUUUUACUGACGCUGAGGCUCGAAAGCGUGGGGAGCAAACAGGAUUAGAUACCCUGGUAGUCCACGCUGUAAACGAUGAUUACUAGGUGUGGGGGGACUGACCCCUUCCGUGCCGCAGUUAACACAAUAAGUAAUCCACCUGGGGAGUACGGCCGCAAGGUUGAAACUCAAAUGAAUUGACGGGG
Molecule: ribosomal RNA, 396 nt
Filed under: uncultured bacterium
Lineage: Bacteria
Description: partial 16S ribosomal RNA
Rfam family: Bacterial small subunit ribosomal RNA
Source: RNAcentral